Molecule: ribosomal RNA, 890 nt
Filed under: Delftia sp.
Lineage: Bacteria; Pseudomonadati; Pseudomonadota; Betaproteobacteria; Burkholderiales; Comamonadaceae
Description: bacterial SSU rRNA
Rfam family: Bacterial small subunit ribosomal RNA
Source: RNAcentral
UAUGGGUGCCUUAACAUUGCAAGUCGAACGGUAGCAGGUCUUCGGACGCUGACGAGUGGCGAACGGGUGAGUAAUACAUCGAGAACGUGCCCAGUCGUGGGGGAUAACUACUCGAAAGAGUAGCUAAUACCGCAUACGAUCUGAGGAUGAAAGCGGGGGACCUUCGGGCCUCGCGCGAUUGGAGCGGCCGAUGGCAGAUUAGGUAAUUGGUGGGAUAAAAGCUUACCAAGCCGACGAUCUGUAGCUGGUCUGAGAGGACGACCAGCCACACUGGGACUGAGACACGGACCAGACUCCUACAGGAGGCAGCAGUGGGGAAUUUUGGACAAUGGGCGAAAGCCUGAUCCAGCAAUGCCGCGUGCAGGAUGAAGGCCUUCGGGUUGUAAACUGCUUUUGUACGGAACGAAAAAGCUCCUUCUAAUACAGGGGGCCCAUGACGGUACCGUAAGAAUAAGCACCGGCUAACUACGUGCCAGCAGCCGCGGUAAUACGUAGGGUGCGAGCGUUAAUCGGAAUUACUGGGCGUAAAGCGUGCGCAGGCGGUUAUGUAAGACAGAUGUGAAAUCCCCGGGCUCAACCUGUGAACUGCAUUUGUGACUGCAUGGCUAGAGUACGGUAGAGGGGGAUGGAAUUCCGCGUGUAGCAGUGAAAUGCGUAGAUAUGCGGAGGAACACCGAUGGCGAAGGCAAUCCCCUGGACCUGUACUGACGCUCAUGCACGAAAGCGUGGGGAGCAAACAGGAUUACAUACCCUGGUAGUCCGCGCCCUAAACGAUGUCAACUGGUUGUUGGGAAUUAGUUUUCUCAGUAACGAAGCUAACGCGUGAAGUUGACCGCCUGGGGAGUACGGCCGCAAGGUUGAAACUCAAUGGAAUUGACGGAUUUGACGGU